GGAAUCUUCCACAAUGGGCGCAAGCCUGAUGGAGCAACACCGCGUGAGUGAAGAAGGGUUUCGGCUCGUAAAGCUCUGUUGUUAGAGAAGAACGUGCGUGAGAGUAACUGUUCACGCAGUGACGGUAUCUAACCAGAAAGUCACGGCUAACUACGUGCCAGCAGCCGCGGUAAUACGUAGGUGGCAAGCGUUAUCCGGAUUUAUUGGGCGUAAAGCGAGCGCAGGCGGUCUUUUAAGUCUAAUGUGAAAGCCUUCGGCUUAACCGAAGAAGUGCAUUGGAAACUGGAAGACUUGAGUGCAGAAGAGGACAGUGGAACUCCAUGUGUAGCGGUGAAAUGCGUAGAUAUAUGGAAGAACACCAGUGGCGAAAGCGGCUCUCUGGUCUGUAACUGACGCUGAGGCUCGAAAGCGUGGGGAGCAAACA
This 424-nucleotide ribosomal RNA is filed under the name uncultured Lactobacillus sp. RNAcentral's name for it is "bacterial SSU rRNA". It matches the Rfam family "Bacterial small subunit ribosomal RNA", at positions 358 to 774 of the family's 1533-position model. The record is from RNAcentral. Lineage: Bacteria; Bacillati; Bacillota; Bacilli; Lactobacillales; Lactobacillaceae.